Molecule: long non-coding RNA, 2562 nt
Organism: Camelus dromedarius (Arabian camel)
Lineage: Eukaryota; Metazoa; Chordata; Mammalia; Artiodactyla; Camelidae
Exons: 4
Source: RefSeq, a predicted model, not a curated record
CAUUCCGCGACAGACGUGGUCGGCGUCUUCCCUGGGGGCGACGCUCCUUUUCCUCAGGGAGGAGCGGGAGGCGCCAUGGCGGCUUCGGGACCGCGUGGCCCUCGUUCCUGAAGGAGGAGGACGCUCCUCGCUCGCUGUCUGAGAUCCAAGUCACUUUCUGACACUGAGAGUAAACAAGGGGAAACGCCUUAUAGCCAUUUGAAUAUGUUCAGCCAUGAAGUGAAACAGACUCACUGAAUUCUGAGUCCUGAGAGACAGUGACCCAGACACAGCCCUACCAGCCCUGACAACCACCACUCUGUUCUUUGUGUGAAUUCGGCUGUUUUUAGAUUACACGUGUAAGUGAAAUCAUGCAGCUCUACUUUUUCUUUUUUCACAGUCUGCAGUGUGUUGAUUUGAUCCACUUACAUACAGCAAUGUGAUCACAAACAGAUUUAACACCUCUCACAUGACUCACAAGUAUAAUUUUCUUUAUUUUUUGUGGCAAGAAUAUUCACAAGAUAGUACCUUAGGAACUUUGGAGACUGGUACAGCACUGUAGUCUGUAAUCACUGUGCUGUGCAUUUGAUCUGCAUGACUUAUUUAUCUUCUGGUUGCACAUUUGUACCCUUUAACAUCUCCCCAUUUCCUCCACCCCGACACCUAGUUACCACCAUUUUACAAUUUGUUUCUAAGUGUUUGCUUGCUUGUUUUUUGUUUGUUCGUUUGUUUUUGUAUAUCUGAUAUCUUACGUUUGUUUUUUCUCUGUUUAUUUCAUCUCACCAAGCAUAAUACCCUCAAGGUCAAUCUGUAAUAUCACAAAUGGCAGAAAUUCCUUCUUUCAUAAUGCAGAAUAAUAUUCCAUUGUAUGUCAAUGUCAUUUCUUCUUUAUCCAUUCUUUCAUUGUUAGACACUCAGGUCAUUUCCAUAUCUUGGCUAUUGUGAAUAAUGUUGUAAUAAACAUGCGAAUGCACCUAUCUUUUCAAUACCCUGUUUUCACUUCCUUCAGAUGCACACCAGGAAGGAGGACUGCUGGAGCAUAUGGUAGCUCUUUUUAAUUUUUGGGUAACCUCUAUAGCUUUUCCAUAGUGCUUGAACCAGGUUACAUCCCCACCGACAGUGUACAGGGGUUUUCUUUUAUCCUCAUCCUGGCCAGCACUGUCUCUUGUCUUCUUGGUGAUGGCCUUUCUGACAGGAGGGAGGGGAUAUCUCAUUCCACUUUCAAUUUUCAUUUCCCUAAUUGUUAGUCAUGUUGAAUAUCUUUUCAUGUACAUUUUGUGUAUUUGGGUGUCUUCUUUGGAAAAAUAUAAAUUUAGAUUCACUGCCCAUUUUUUAUAUUGGAUUUUCUACUCUUUUUUUCUUUUUUUUUUUUUUGCUAUUGUGUUAUAUGAGGUCUACAUAUAUUUUGAUAUUAACCCUCCAUCCAAUAUAUGAUUUGCAAAAAUUCUCUCCUACUCUAUAUUAGGCUUUAUAUUUUGCUGAUUAUGUCUUUUGCUGUGCAGGAUCUUUUUAGUUUGAUGUAGUCCCACCUGUUGAUAUUUGCUUUUCUGGCUUGUGUUUUGGGGUCAUACCCCAAAAUUAUUACCCAAACCAGAGUUAAGUAUCUUCUUCUCUAUGUUUUCCUCUAGGAGUUUUAAAGUAUGAGGUCUUACAUUUCAGUCAUUAAUCCAUUUUAAAUUAUAUUUGUGAGUAGCGGAAAGUAGGUUUCCAAUUUCAUUUUUCUGCUUGUGGUUUUCCAAUCUUCCCAGCAACAUUUAUUGAAGAUGCUAGAGUUUCCUCAUUCAAAAUAGCAUUAAAACCAAUAAAAUACCUAAGAAUACACUUUACUAUGGAAGUGAAAAAUUUGUACUUUGAAAACUAUAAGACUUCUAUGGAAAAAAUUGAAGAAGACAAAACAAGUGGAAAGAUACACUGGGCCAGAAGUAUGGCUAAUGGAACAGAAGAAUUAAGGUUAAAAUGUCCAUAAUACCCAAAGCCAUUUACAGUUUCAGUGCAAUUUCUAUCAAUAUUCCAACAGCAUUUUUUACACAUGGAGAGAAAUCAAUCUUAAAAUUUUUUUAUGUGACUACCAGUGACCCAGACACCAGAGCAAUCCUGGGAAAGAACAAAUUGGGAGUCAUCACACUUCCUGAUUUAGAACUAAAUCACAAUGCUACAGUAUGAGACACAAUGAUAUUGGUAUUAAAAUACACACAUGGUUUAAAUUAACAGUAUAGAGGACCCAGUAGUAAACCCCUGUAUACUAGGUCAACUACUAUUUGAGAUGGAAGUAAAACACGUUCAGUGGGCAAAGGAUAGUCUCUUUGACAAAUGGUGCUUGGACACCUGGAUACUACUUUUAAUUUUUGACAGAAAUUCCAUACUGCUUUUCCUAGUGGCUGUGGUUAUUUACAUUUUUACCAACAACACACAAGGAUUUUCUUCACAUCCCUUCCAAUCCUUGUACUCACCUGUCUUUUUUGACUGUAGCCAUUGUAACAGUUGUGAUAAGGUCUCGUGGUUUUGAUUUGCAAUUCCCUGAUGAUUAAUGACAACCUUUUCAUGUUGGACAUUUGUACGUUUUCUUAAGGAAAAUGUCUAUUC